UUUUGUGUAUUAUAAUAAAUAUUUUUAUUUUCCAAAUAAAAGAUCCUUUUGGUACAAUAA
RNAcentral lists this transfer RNA (60 nucleotides) under Dugesia japonica. RNAcentral's name for it is "tRNA-Gly". The record is from RNAcentral. Lineage: Eukaryota; Metazoa; Platyhelminthes; Tricladida; Dugesiidae.